UGCAUUCUUUUUCUCUGUUUAGAUAGAUCAUCAAAUUCCCCUUUCCCAAGAUUGUUUCUCAUCGUCAAAAAGUUUUCAACCUUGCUUAAUUGCUUCUUGUAGCCCAUUGAUAUACAUUUGUAAACACACCUUCAAACAACCCCAUCCUUGAUAACCGAUUAUCACCUCCACCAUUGGUCAUGGCUACCUGAGCUAAUUACGGCCCCUCUCUUAUUCAUAUUCGUAGCCCCUACCAUAGUUCACAAACAAAACCCCA
This 256-nucleotide long non-coding RNA is filed under the name Glycine max (soybean). Its description in RNAcentral is "long non-coding RNA (GMAX_LNC002202)". The record is from RNAcentral. Lineage: Eukaryota; Viridiplantae; Streptophyta; Magnoliopsida; Fabales; Fabaceae.